RNAcentral lists this small RNA (128 nucleotides) under Marmota monax (woodchuck). The record is from RNAcentral. Lineage: Eukaryota; Metazoa; Chordata; Mammalia; Rodentia; Sciuridae.
ACUGGGCGUGGUGGUGCACACCUGUUAUCCCAGCAGCUUUUGGAGGCUGAGGCAGGAGGAUCACAAGUUCAGAGGCAGCCUGAGCAUAAGAGAAAGGUGCUAAGCAACUCAGUGAGACCCUGUCUCGA